UACGUAGGGUGCGAGCGUUAAUCGGAAUUACUGGGCGUAAAGCGUGCGCAGGCGGUUCGUCGUGUCCGAUGUGAAAGCCCCGGGCUCAACCUGGGAAUGGCAUUGGAAACUGGCGGACUCGAGUGUGGCAGAGGGGGGUGGAAUUCCGCGUGUGGCAGUGAAAUGCGUAGAGAUGCGGAGGAACACCGAUGGCGAAGGCAGCCCCCUGGGCUAACACUGACGCCCAGGCACGAAAGCGUGGGGAGCAAACAGG
Molecule: ribosomal RNA, 253 nt
Filed under: uncultured bacterium
Lineage: Bacteria
Description: partial 16S ribosomal RNA
Rfam family: Bacterial small subunit ribosomal RNA
Source: RNAcentral